Molecule: long non-coding RNA, 237 nt
Organism: Megalobrama amblycephala (Wuchang bream)
Lineage: Eukaryota; Metazoa; Chordata; Actinopteri; Cypriniformes; Xenocyprididae
Exons: 3
Source: RefSeq, a predicted model, not a curated record
UGGAGUAUCGAAAAUAUCUUACCACGGGUGCAGCAGUUCCUGCGCGAACAGCACGUCGAUGGAAAAGGUCAGCGGCAUGUUCAGGCUCCCCAAGGAGAAAAAAAGUAUGUGUUUCUGCUGUUACCCUAAGUGAUCCUGCACGCAUCUCCUGUGGUCCUGCACUCGACUCCCGUCACUUCCUGCACUCGAUCCUUAAUCCUGAUCCUGCACUCAUCUCCUGUGGUCCUGCACUGAUUU